GGCGACGUCGCCAAGUGGUAAGGCAAGGGUCUGCAAAACCUUUAUCACGGGUUCGAAUCCCGUCGUCGCCU
This 71-nucleotide transfer RNA is filed under the name Anaerolineales bacterium. RNAcentral describes it as "tRNA-Cys". It matches the Rfam family "tRNA". From Rfam's summary of the family: Transfer RNA (tRNA) molecules are approximately 80 nucleotides in length. The record is from RNAcentral. Lineage: Bacteria; Bacillati; Chloroflexota; Anaerolineae; Anaerolineales.